GGAGCAGUCAAAUCCAAUAUUCUUGAAAAUGAAAAAUCUGACUUCGAAAAAGUCAUUAGUACUAACCUCGUAGGUACAUUUCUUGGAAUUAAACAAGCAGCACGAGUCAUGAUCCCUCGUGGUCAAGGUAGCAUAAUUACAACUGGUAGUGUUUGUGCAUCAAUAGGUGGUGUUUGUCCUCAUUCCUAUACCAGUUCAAAACAUGGAUUGUUAGGACUUACUCGGAAUGCUGCAAUUGAUUUAGGACGGUAUGGCAUUCGUGUGAAUUGUGUGUCACCUUACGUUAUUCGUACGACAUCAGCUUUAGAUACCUUAAAAAAGAUGGGGAAGGAAGAUUCAGAUGUUUAUUCUACCUUAAACGGUCCUACACUUACUCCUUAUGAUGUCGCCGAAGCAGCUGUUUUCCUAGCAAGUGAUGAGUCCAAGUAUGUAAAUG
This 436-nucleotide unclassified non-coding RNA is filed under the name Hevea brasiliensis (rubber tree). Lineage: Eukaryota; Viridiplantae; Streptophyta; Magnoliopsida; Malpighiales; Euphorbiaceae. The record is from RNAcentral.